GCGCCGCGAGCCCCGGCGGGGGCGAGGCCGCGGGCAAGGAGGGGCCCGAGUGGGCUCUCCUCGGAGCUGCGGGGCAGGCGGCAGCGGCCAGGGAGGGGACUCGGAGCCGAGGGCAGGGGAGACCCCCUCCGCGGGGUAGCGGUAUUUCUGUGUCCCCCAUCAUCGUAUCUGAAUACCUUGCUGUCUUCAGUGCAUUUAUCCUCACAACACCCCUACCAGGUAGGGAAGCACUGGUAUCCCCAUUUUAUAGAUGUGGAACUGAAGCAUGGAAAGACCAGGUGACUUGCCCAGGAUGUUUGUAGUGGACCAGGAUUUGAACCCAGGUUUCCCGCAACCCAGCUGAGGACACUAAUCACAAAAUCGUCUUUCCUCUCCUCAGCUUAGCAGUUGCUGCUGCUCAUCCCAGGUCUUGAUAUCAACUUGGUUCCACCCAGUCUAUGGUUGUGAUGCAGGCCCAACAGCAGAGCUUCACCUGGUGAACAUCACCUUCAAGUACUGCACAAAGCCAGCUAUUUCUGAUCCAGCAGCUAUACACAAUGUUACAGACUCUGAAAUCUAUGCCAGGAUGAGAGAGACCCCAAAAACACUCCACAAUUUCAUUUUGAGUGUACAUCCACAGUCUCAGAUUAGACUACUGGAGCAUAAAGAUUCCAUGACACAGAAAUAGUGUGUGGAGAUAAUCAGCUCUGUAACCAGGAUUAUGAACAAAGGGACUGGGGAUUUUUUAUUUAAAUCUACAAAAAAGGUGGAAUUCCCUUCUGUAAUUCCUAUAUAGCUACUAAUAUCACCUCAUAUAUUUUAGUUUUAUUUCAACAUUUUCUUUUAGUGGAGGGGAAAGAAAAUAGUUUUUGUAAAUACCCAUUUUCA
This is a long non-coding RNA of Mauremys reevesii (Reeves's turtle), 867 nucleotides long. RefSeq lists it as uncharacterized. NCBI's taxonomy places the organism in Eukaryota, Metazoa, Chordata, Testudines, Geoemydidae. The record is from RefSeq and is a predicted model, not a curated record. The transcript has 4 exons.